CCUACGGGGUGCACCAGUGGGGAAUAUUGGACAAUGGGCGAAAGCCUGAUCCAGCAAUGCCGCGUGUGUGAAGAAGGUCUUCGGAUUGUAAAGCACUUUCGACGGGGACGAUGAUGACGGUACCCGUAGAAGAAGCCCCGGCUAACUUCGUGCCAGCAGCCGCGGUAGUACGAAGGGGGCUAGCGUUGCCCGGAAUGACUGGGCGUAAAGGGCGCGUAGGCGGUUUAUGCAGUCAGAUGUGAAAUCCCCGGGCUUAACCUGGGAACUGCAUUUGAGACGCAUAGACUAGAGGUCGAGAGAGGGUUGUGGAAUUCCCAGUGUAGAGGUGAAAUUCGUAGAUAUUGGGAAGAACACCAACGGCGAAAGCACUCUGCUGGGCCGACACUGACACUGAGAGACGAAAGCUAGGGGAGCGAUUGGGAUUAGAUACCCCGGUAGUC
This 440-nucleotide ribosomal RNA is filed under the name uncultured bacterium. RNAcentral describes it as "bacterial SSU rRNA". It matches the Rfam family "Bacterial small subunit ribosomal RNA", at positions 338 to 795 of the family's 1533-position model. The record is from RNAcentral.